AACGGCUGGCGGCGUGCCUAAUACAUGCAAGUCGAACGGUCUUUCUAUGGAAGCUUGCUUCCACUGAGAAGAUAGUGGCGAACGGGUGAGUAACACGUGGGUAACCUGCCCAUAAGAGGGGGAUAACAUCCGGAAACGGGUGCUAAUACCGCAUAGUUUUCUUGAUUGCAUGAUUGAGAAAGGAAAGACGGCCUUUGUGCUGUCGCUUAUGGAUGGACCCGCGGCGUAUUAGUUAGUUGGUGAGGUAACGGCUCACCAAGACGAUGAUACGUAGCCGACCUGAGAGGGUGAUCGGCCACAUUGGGACUGAGACACGGCCCAAACUCCUACGGGAGGCAGCAGUAGGGAAUCUUCCGCAAUGGACGAAAGUCUGACGGAGCAACGCCGCGUGAGUGAAAGAAGGUUUUCGGAUCGUAAAACUCUGUUGUCAGAGAAGAACAAGUUGGAGAGUAACUGCUCCAGCCUUGACGGUAUCUGACCAGAAAGCCACGGCUAACUACGUGCCAGCCGCGGC
RNAcentral lists this ribosomal RNA (514 nucleotides) under uncultured bacterium. RNAcentral's name for it is "bacterial SSU rRNA". It matches the Rfam family "Bacterial small subunit ribosomal RNA", at positions 35 to 518 of the family's 1533-position model. The record is from RNAcentral.